This 407-nucleotide ribosomal RNA is filed under the name uncultured microorganism. Its description in RNAcentral is "bacterial SSU rRNA". It matches the Rfam family "Archaeal small subunit ribosomal RNA", at positions 330 to 745 of the family's 1478-position model. The record is from RNAcentral.
GCGCAGCAGGCGCGAAACUUUACAAUGUGCGAAAGCACGAUAAGGGAACUCUGAGUGCCUCCUAAGGAGGCUGUUCAGGUGUCUAAAAGCACCUGGAGUAAGGGCUGGGUAAGACCGGUGCCAGCCGCCGCGGUAACACCGGCAGCCCAGGUGGUAGCCACUUUUAUUGGGUCUAAAGCGUCCGUAGCCGGUUGAGUAAGUUCCUUGGGAAAUUUGGCUGCUCAACAGUCAAGCUUCCAGGGAAUACUGCUCGACUUGGGACUGGGAGAGGUCAGAGGUACUCCAGGGGUAGGGUGAAAUCCAUUAAUCCCUGGGGGACCACCGGUAGCGAAGGCGUUUGACCAGACCAGGUCCGACGGUGAGGGACGAAGGCUAGGGUCGCGAACCGGAUUAGAUACCCCUGUAGU